GACGAACGCUGGCGGCGUGCUUAACACAUGCAAGUCGAACGGAAAGGCCCUGCUUUUGUGGGGUGCUCGAGUGGCGAACGGGUGAGUAACACGUGAGUAACCUGCCCUUGACUUUGGGAUAACUUCAGGAAACUGGGGCUAAUACCGGAUAGGAGCUCCUGCUGCAUGGUGGGGGUUGGAAAGUUUCGGCGGUUGGGGAUGGACUGGCGGCUUAUCAGCUUGUUGGUGGGGUAGUGGCUUACCAAGGCUUUGAAGGGUAGCCGGCCUGAGAGGGUGACCGGCCACAUUGGGACUGGGAUACGGCCCAGACUCCUACGGGAGGCAGCAGUGGGGAAUAUUGCACAAUGGGCGGAAGCCUGAUGUAGCAACGCCGCGUGCGGGAUGACGGCCUUCGGGUUGUAAACCGCUUUCGCCUGUGACGAAGCGUGAGUGACGGUAAUGGGUAAAGAAGCACCGGCUAACUACGUG
This 468-nucleotide ribosomal RNA is filed under the name uncultured bacterium. RNAcentral's name for it is "partial 16S ribosomal RNA". It matches the Rfam family "Bacterial small subunit ribosomal RNA", at positions 28 to 507 of the family's 1533-position model. The record is from RNAcentral.